CCUACGGGAGGCAGCAGUGAGGAAUAUUGGUCAAUGGACGUGAGUCUGAACCAGCCAAGUAGCGUGAGGGAUGACUGCCCUAUGGGUUGUAAACUUCUUUUAUAUGGGAAUAAAACGUUCCACGUGUGGGAUUUUGUAUGUACCAUAUGAAUAAGGAUCGGCUAACCACGUGCCCGCAGCCGCCGUAAUACGGAGGAUCGGAGCGUUAUCCGGAUUUAUUGGGUUUAAAGGGAGCGUAGGUGGAUUGUUAAGUCAGUUGUGAAAGUGUGCGGCUCAACCGUAACAUUGCAGUUGAAACUGGCAGUCGUGAGUACAGUAGAGGUGGGCGGAAUUCGUGGUGUAGCGGUGAAAUGCUUAGAUAUCACGAAGAACUCCGAUUGCGAAGGCAGCUCACUGGACUGCAACUGACACUGAGGCUCGAAAGUGUGGGUAUCAAACAGGAUUAGAUACCCGUGUAGUC
Molecule: ribosomal RNA, 460 nt
Filed under: uncultured bacterium
Lineage: Bacteria
Description: partial 16S ribosomal RNA
Rfam family: Bacterial small subunit ribosomal RNA
Source: RNAcentral